AGCUUGACUGUUGGAGGGAGAGGGGCUGAAGGCGGUUGGUGGUGGGCAGGUGGGGAGCUUGGGGGUCCCGAAUUUAAAAGAAUGGACAGAUAGAAGCUGAGAAAGGUAGCUGUAGGCUGGUCGUUUCUGCUGGGCACAAGUCUCCCCAGGGACGUGCUUUUCCAUUCUUUGUCCUUCCUUGUAAGGAGAGACCCUGACAUUCCUUGGUAACUGCAAGUGGUGCCAGUAAGUGAAGUUGGCUGUUGUGUCCGUUACUUCCUCAGGAAUUUUUUUUUUUUCGCCUUCUUUCAAUGUGGUUUUAAAUUUGGGGACUGAGGAUAACCUGAAUGUCCCACAGGCCAAGAUAUGUUUACACCUCCAGAGUGACGUGCACACCAAGAGGCAGCCCCACAGCCUCCCUCUUGUGAGCCUGUGGGUCGGUGAGUGGGGCCCAAGAUGCUUGAGAGAGAGAAGUCGUCCUAAACAGGUCCCAAAGUUUGAGGCAGACUGGCCAGGACUGUGCCCAGGCAGAAGCGUGAGUUGUCCACAGCGAGCCCAGGAGGGAGGGGAGACGCACGGAGGCACUCUGCAGGCAGAAGGCCGUAGACACUCCUUUCUCGGUCCUGGACCACAGCGCUUCAGGAAUGGGCCACCCCAGUGAGCGGUCCCAGCCCAGAGGCCUCUGAGAGGCCUUUCUGUGAGUGUAUAACCUCCAGGUACCACAGUCUCCACCAGCGCUCAGAGAGGACCCUGCUCCAGGCAGAUCUGACUCCUUCUGAGCCUUUCUUCUUGCUCCCAAUUCUCACCAAGAUCUCCUCUCAGCCCCUCCCUCUUCCUGUCAGCUCAUAGGACGGGCUCCUGAGGGCCUCGACCCCUCAGCCCCUCCCUUUUUCUUUAUACUGUAUGUGGAGUGUUUAUUUGGGAUUUGCAGUUGUUUAUCUUUUGUUUGUGUAUUUUAAGAGUACAAGAUAAAGGAGGAAGCCCAGGUGUAAAGUCCCAAUUACUGGGGGGAGGAGAGAAACAACGCGGUUUACCUGUAACUUCCAAGGGGAUGAGGAGACCCUCAGGGCCAGUGGCAGGAGGGUAUUCCCCGGGUGUGGACGUGCCGGGGGAAGCAUCCUCCAUGGCUGCUAAUAUUCUUGGUGCUUCCCCUGCCUCUUCGAUGGCUGGAGCCCACAAUGCUGCUCCCUUCUCCUCCCAUCACCUCACCCCCACGGGUGGAACAAACAAGAGUCUUAUUUCACAGAGUGGGAAGCUGAGGUACAGCCACAAGGGACGCUGAAGAGGCCUCUCCUGAGAGAGGCUGCCCCACCCCGAGCCUCUUCUCCUCAUGGUGCUCGGAGGAGACCCUCUACUGCGAAACUAAAGGACCCUUCCUCCCGUUCGGAAAGGCCGCUCUGCGGUGAAAGUUUCAGACAUUCAAGGGAGACCAUUUUUUUUGUAACUAUAAAUCUUUGCUCCCAAAUACAAUUAUUUGUUUUAUUAGGGGGAGUAUCCAACUUUAUAAAAUAUAUAGGAUUUUGGCUUAUAAAAAUAAUACCUACUCAUUAGAGUCCCAAUUAAAUUUCUUGAGUAGACCAGUGACUACCCCAAAGCAAAACAAAACAAAACAAAACAAAACAAAAUCCCUAAUAAAUAAAAAUAGAUUUCUGUUUGUAUUGGCAGAGAUAGUGAGGUGGGCCAUGGGCCCGGGGGUCCUUGGUCGGCAAGCCCACCUUCCCUCCCCUCCGCCUCUGUUACUGCUGUCCAGUCCUGGCUUUCCGGGCUGCCCCUGGUGUUGGCGAAUCCUACACAGUUCUCAUCAGUCAACUUCCCCCAAACUGCAGGGAGAGCCUGUUAGGGAUGGGUCGUGGAAGGACCCAGGUCCUCUUCCCCGAGAAUGCAAACGUUCAUGGCAAAUAGGUGUAUGCAGCUCAUCUUCCACCGGUUUCUUUAUCUGGAAUUAGAACUUCUUCUGUUAGUAUCUUUGCUCUUACGAUGCAAGCACAUUUUGGAAGGGCUGCCUUACAAAAGUAGAAUUCAAAACAGGGCAUACAGUUAAAGAGCAAUGCAAAAGACACUUAAGAGACUGAGACCACUUUACCAAAUAGGACUAUUGAGCGCAAUUCAGGCACACGGCUGAGUUGGGAUAGUGUCCUCGUAUGUUCUCCUUCCCUCUUCCUCCCCCAAUAUUCCCGUCAGCUUGUUGGCUCAUUAAACUUUCCGUUCUUUAAAAAGAAAAGCUAGUUUACCUCAAAGAAUCUUGUUUCCAUUUGGAAACCAAUGGCUUUGUGUUUUAGAGUGGAUGACCCUCCUCUCCAUCACUGCCUGCCUGGGCCUGGUGUCCUUGAGGCCCAGGGUCUGGCUUAGUCACAUGUUGGCUGUGCUGACCAAGAACAAGAACCCCAGGCCCUGAGAUGGGAAGGAAGAAUUGGAUGCAGCUGCCCUCCUCCCCACUUUAGCUUGUAGAGACCAGCCUAUUUCUUCCAUCAGGGUCCUGCCAUGUUACCAUAGCAACCAGCAACUCCAGGGUACCGCAACAGACAGUGGCUUAGUGAGCCAAGGCGUGGAGGGAGAGGAGUUUGGCCUGGUCAGAUGACCCAGAGUGAAGUCUCAAACACUAGAGGAAAGGGAAGGAAAAGGAAAGAUGGAUGGGUGGUUUAAAGAACAGGCAGGGACCUUUGAGCACCAGAAAGAAGCCACCGAAGGGUGGUCAUUCCUGCUCCAGUCACCCCCUUCCCGCUGCGCCCCACUUCAGUUUCCAUAAAGCUCCCACCUUGAACACUGACCCUUUGUUAGAACAAAGCAAAACAUAUCUUUAGACAACAGUGUUAUAAUGAGCCUCAAAGAUAGGUGGAUGAAAUCUAUUAGAGGAAGGGGUCUUCUGGUUUUGAUUUUUAAAGAAGAGUAUCCUAGUAAGAUUAAAAAAAAAAAGAUUUUAAAAAAAAGUUUUUAAAAAGGAAACCUAUGCUAUUUAAAUUGGAGCCCAGUUGUAACUUGGUAAAGGCAAGCUUCUGUACCUUUGUUAUAAUUAAUUGUAUACCUGUGUAUGUAAAUAUAAGGCAUUCCUAUUUUGCAGUUC
Long non-coding RNA from Equus caballus (horse), 3040 nucleotides. Lineage: Eukaryota; Metazoa; Chordata; Mammalia; Perissodactyla; Equidae. The record is from Ensembl.